GAUGAAGAACGUAGCGAAAUGCGAUAAGUAAUGUGAAUUGCAGAAUUCAGUGAAUCAUCGAAUCUUUGAACGCACAUUGCGCCCCCUGGUAUUCCGGGGGGCAUGCCUGUUCGAGCGUCAUUUCACCACUCAAGCCUCGCUUGGUAUUGGGCAACGCGGUCCGCCGCGUGCCUCAAAUCGACCGGCUGGGUCUUCUGUCCCCUAAGCGUUGUGGAAACUUUCGCUAAAGGGUGUUCGGGAGGCUACGCCGUAAAACAACCCCAUUUCUAAGGUUGACCUCGGAUCAGGUAGGGAUACCCGCUGAACUUAAGCAUAUCAAUAAGCGGGGA
Molecule: unclassified non-coding RNA, 329 nt
Filed under: soil metagenome
Description: partial contains 5.8S ribosomal RNA, internal transcribed spacer 2, and large subunit ribosomal RNA
Rfam family: 5.8S ribosomal RNA (bases 1-120)
Source: RNAcentral